GAUGAAGAACGUAGCGAAAUGCGAUAAGUAAUGUGAAUUGCAGAAUUCAGUGAAUCAUCGAAUCUUUGAACGCACAUUGCGCCCUCUGGUAUUCCGGGGGGCAUGCCUGUUCGAGCGUCAAUAUAACCACUCAAGCUCUCGCUUGGUAUUGGGGUUCGCGGUUCCGCGGCCCCUAAAAUCAGUGGCGGUGCCUGUCGGCUCUACGCGUAGUAAUACUCCUCGCGUCUGGGUCCGGUAGGUCUACUUGCCAGCAACCCCCAAUUUUUACAGGUUGACCUCGGAUCAGGUAGGGAUACCCGCUGAACUUAAGCAUAUCAAUAAGCGGAGGA
RNAcentral lists this unclassified non-coding RNA (329 nucleotides) under soil metagenome. Its description in RNAcentral is "partial contains 5.8S ribosomal RNA, internal transcribed spacer 2, and large subunit ribosomal RNA". The stretch from base 1 to 120 matches the Rfam family "5.8S ribosomal RNA", at positions 35 to 154 of the family's 154-position model. The record is from RNAcentral.